UACGUAGGGUGCAAGCGUUAAUCGGAAUUACUGGGCGUAAAGCGUGCGCAGGCGGUGAUGUAAGACAGAUGUGAAAUCCCCGGGCUCAACCUGGGAACUGCAUUUGUGACUGCAUCGCUGGAGUACGGCAGAGGGGGAUGGAAUUCCGCGUGUAGCAGUGAAAUGCGUAGAUAUGCGGAGGAACACCGAUGGCGAAGGCAAUCCCCUGGGCCUGUACUGACGCUCAUGCACGAA
RNAcentral lists this ribosomal RNA (234 nucleotides) under uncultured bacterium. RNAcentral describes it as "partial 16S ribosomal RNA". It matches the Rfam family "Bacterial small subunit ribosomal RNA", at positions 524 to 757 of the family's 1533-position model. The record is from RNAcentral.